CAGCCGCCGCGGUAACACGGAGGGUGCAAGCGUUAAUCGGAAUUACUGGGCGUAAAGCGUGCGUAGGCGGUUCGUUAAGUCUGUUGUGAAAGCCCCGGGCUCAACCUGGGAAUGGCAAUGGAUACUGGCGAGCUAGAGUGUGUCAGAGGAUGGUGGAAUUCCCGGUGUAGCGGUGAAAUGCGUAGAGAUCGGGAGGAACAUCAGUGGCGAAGGCGGCCAUCUGGGACAACACUGACGCUGAGGCACGAAAGCGUGGGGAGCAAACAGGAUUAGAUACCCCGGUAGUCCCUGUCUCUUAUAA
Molecule: ribosomal RNA, 301 nt
Filed under: uncultured bacterium
Lineage: Bacteria
Description: partial 16S ribosomal RNA
Rfam family: Bacterial small subunit ribosomal RNA
Source: RNAcentral